GGAGCCCUUGCCCCCUCUGUCUUCUUCCCCAGUGAGCCGUCACCGUCACCGCACCGUUCUGACCCGUGACCGCGUCGCCUUCCUCCUCUGUGUCCUCUUCCUUCUCUUGUCCCCGAGCGCUGCCUCGUCUCCUUGAGCUCUACGCCUCGUCUGCGCCCUCACUCGUCGCUUUGCCACCCCUCCCCAUGACCCUUGGCCGCGCGUGCCCGUCGCCGGAGCACGGACACGCCGCGCGCGUGCCACCUCACCCCCCUCAUCGUUCGGCUAUAAAUAGCCCGUCCCCGAGAACUCUGAGCUCACCAGCCUCUUCCUCACCCUCCCAGCAACCUUCCCGACCCAUCUGUUCGACUCCAGAGCCCCUCCUCACCGCAGUUGGCCGCCAGGGCCGCCGAUCCCCUCCGCCUAAAUUGGCGCAACACUGGCCCCGUCUCUCCACCCCUCCACCACCAGAGCAUCUCUAGGAGUCCACCCAAUCACCUCCGCCCUUCUCCUUCCCUUCCGGUGCGCGGUGGCCGCGAGCCCCUCGGUGCCCGAGGCCGUCGUCCGCCGCGGUCGACGUCCCUCUUGGCUCGAUGCUCCCCGGCGUCUUCUACCACCAGGAAGGGAUCCGCCUCGUCACGCUGAGCUCGUCGGUAGGUCGCGCGCCCCGUAUGGUGGCCGGGAUCGCCGGCGAGCGUCGUCGGGGUGCGCUCCCCUGCUCGGCCCGGUGCGUCUAGGCGGGAGGAAGAAGAAGGCCGGCUAGGUGGGCCCCACCUUCCGCGAGGCCCACCCGUCAGCUGCACGAGGGGUUCACCCAGGGCGUUGACGUGGAUAAGUGGCCGUGCACUUCCCAAAAUACUCUUUCACCAAACCGAAAGCGUAUUUCCCUCUGCUUCAGCUCCAAGUAUGUUUUCGUUAUUCUGAAAGCGUAUUCCCUUCUGUUUCAGACAAAAAUACGUUUUCUUUGUCAGAAUGCGUGUUUCUAAUUUUCCGCCUCUGUCUUAUCCACUCAGGGACCCGGCUGUGAAUAUUAUUUUUACAGAAAAGUCCCUGAUGUUCCAACCCUCAUAUCUCCGCAACCGUAACUCCGAAUGAGGUGAAACCAAGGCUCACUUCUUUGUCUCUUCGAGCCCAAACUUUUGGUGCCAUUUUCACUAUGGUUUGACAUACUGGAAAUGACCAUUUUUUCCUUGUCCCAAAUCAGCCCCCUCCGAGAGAACCCUUUCCGGCGAUUCUUUCCGCAGCUUCACCGCACAUCUUUCCGGAGUAUUCUUCAUCCCCAGGCAAGCCACAACCACCAUUUGCAUGAUAGCCAUGCAGAAGCAUUGGUUUCCAACUUGAAUCUUUAAUAACUGUUUGAUUGUUUUGCUACUCCUGUCGUUAUUUCGGUUAUGCUUAUGGAUCGGUGUUUACCGGGAUGUUAUGUUUUCUUGCACUCUGUUAUUUUGUUCCUCAUGCUAGUAUUAUAUUGGCCAUGCUUGGUAAUAGUACAUGUUGGUGAUGGUCUUCGGUGCAUGACUAUCGUCUGUCCCGAGUACCGUUGUUAUGCAUGUUCCUUUGCACCUAGUUGGUUAAAUGCUUGCAUGGUAGUUUUCGUUAUGUUAUUGCAUGGUAGUUUAUCGUUAUGUUAUUGCAUGGUAUUUAUUGUUGAUGCUAGUGGUCAUGUUAUGCUAUGAGUAGUGUUCUAGUUGUGAUAUUCAUGCUCAUCAGUAUGCCAUGCUCAUCUGGAUAAAUGAUUAAAUGUUGUUGUUAUGCUCAUUGAUUAUGUUGCACCUCCAUGCUUAUUUUGGUAUCAUGUUCAUGCAUUGUAGUUGCAUCAUGUUAUUUUAUCAUGGCUCAGCAUAUUGCAUUCAAGUUUAACCAGAUUAAAUUGAACUUGAAGAGCUGUUGGCUGAGUCAUGGUGCCACCAUAUCGAUCUGACCAGUGCAACCACGCUUACCCUAUGGGGGGGUCCUAACUGGGUCUAUUGUCAUGCCUCUCACCGGUGCCUCCCGCGAGGGAAGGUUAUGCGCGGGCGCUACCCUGAUCAGGUAGGACGGCAUAAGCCUUGUGUGCCCGUUGUUGAGUAUGGAUCAUUGUCCCCGUUUGGGACCGUUUUGCCACGACGGUGGCCGUUGGUGCCUUUGGUAGGCACGGGGCCACCCAGGACUUAGCCCAAAGGGGAGUUGGUCGGAGUGGCUGGGAGGGUGUCAUGGCAGUAGGACGGUUUUGUCGAAAUGCUUUGGUCCACCCGAAUGGGAGUGCGAGGCCAGGGUUCCAUGGUGUGGGUACAGUGUGCUAACCUCUGUAGAGUGUGUGUGUUAAAUCUAUCGAUAGCCGCGCCCGCGGAUAUGGGCCCAGUUCGUGUUGGUCACACUAUGGGUUAACAGUAAUAAUAAUAAUGAUGUGCUUAAUAACAACCUUGGUUCGAUGAUGAAAGAAGUUGGUUGAUAUUUAUGUGAUCGUGAGAGGAUCACUGUAGUAUCGUGAAUACCAACUUGUUGGAUAUUUGGAAUGUUAUGUGAGAGUCAAGGGUAAGGGUCAAGCUCCUUGUGAUCAUAAAUGAUUGCUACGGUAUUGUUAAUACCAAGCUUGAUUGGAUCCUGAGAUGAUUGUGUGAUAUCCGUGAUGGUAAGUGAUACAGGUGAUGGUUACGAGGUAACCCGAGCAGAGUAAGUUGGUGCAUGAUAGUUUCAUCAUGUUGCAUGCUAGUAUUAUCAUGUUCAUAUAUUUAUGUCAUGCGCGUAUUGUUCUAGCCGUAUCAUCUUGCCCAUGCUAUGAUUGAUCUGAUAAUAUCAUGUUAAUCCUUAUUAACCCGUAAUUGCCUGCUAUUGUUUGUCUUGAUUGCUUUGGUUGCUGUGAGCUUGCAAGUACAUUCAAUGUACUGACCUGGCGUGUCAUGCCAGUUUGCAGGUCAUGCCGAAUAUGAUUGCUUGUUUGCCGUGGAUUCCUUGUUUGCGAGCUAGGAUAAGCGUUCCAGCCAGAGUCCCUGCGGAGUGGAGUUCACCACCGCCGACGUUGUUCCGCUGCCAGUAGUCAUUCCGCUGCGUCGAGUUGUUCUGCUGCUUGCAUAGAUCAACCGUGGCACGCGUAGUGUCGCCGUGCCGAUGUAAUCCCCUUGUAACCAAUAUAGCUUGUAAUAAAAAG
This 3106-nucleotide long non-coding RNA is filed under the name Triticum aestivum (bread wheat). RNAcentral's name for it is "long non-coding RNA (TAES_LNC023831)". Lineage: Eukaryota; Viridiplantae; Streptophyta; Magnoliopsida; Poales; Poaceae. The record is from RNAcentral.